ACCCCCAAAUCAAGCCUAAGUAGUUACCGCAGACCCAACCAAACCAUCUCUACAACCUAACAAAACAUUCUCCCACUUUAGUAGAGGCGAUCAAAAAACUUCUAAGCGCUUUAUACUCAGUACCGCAAGGGAAUGAUGAAAUAGCUAUGAAAUAGC
Molecule: ribosomal RNA, 156 nt
Filed under: Hoplobatrachus rugulosus (rugose frog)
Lineage: Eukaryota; Metazoa; Chordata; Amphibia; Anura; Dicroglossidae
Description: partial 16S ribosomal RNA
Source: RNAcentral